CGCGUAGGCGGGAUGGCAAGUCGGUCGUGAAAUCCCUCGGCUCAACUGAGGAUCGUCGAUCGAUACUGCCGUUCUUGAGGAUUGCAGAGGAGACUGGAAUCCCCGGUGUAGCGGUGAAAUGUGUAGAGAUCGGGAGGAACACCGGUGGCGAAGGCGGGUCUCUGGGCAAUUCCUGACGCUGAGGCGCGAAAGCGUGGGAGCAAACG
RNAcentral lists this ribosomal RNA (206 nucleotides) under uncultured bacterium. Its description in RNAcentral is "partial 16S ribosomal RNA". It matches the Rfam family "Bacterial small subunit ribosomal RNA", at positions 568 to 774 of the family's 1533-position model. The record is from RNAcentral.